RNAcentral lists this long non-coding RNA (1134 nucleotides) under Homo sapiens (human). RNAcentral's name for it is "non-protein coding LINC01603:3". The record is from RNAcentral. Lineage: Eukaryota; Metazoa; Chordata; Mammalia; Primates; Hominidae.
GCUAAAGGUCGUAAGCAAGGACAAUGAACCUGGAAUUUGGAGGAAUUCAUACUCCAGUGAAGAAUUUCCAGACCCCUCAUGAAAAUAGCAGAUUGCCUACUCACCAGAGAAUACUCAAGCUGAAACUAAGCAGCCCCUGGAGGGUAAGCAAAUGAUUAGAAGGGUAGAUUUCAGGCAAGCAAAAGGGUGAGAGCCCAGAAUCUCCAUGUGAAUGACCCUAAAAUUACAGGUAAUAUAGGAAGUGGCUUCCUUGUACCUCUAGAAAUUGAACUCUCAGAACCUGACUGACAGUCUGCUCUUAAGAACAUUACCUCAAUCUGGAGAGAAAUGUGUGUUUCCUCUCCUAUAUGGAUUUCAGACAGAAGCAGAAGGAGGCUUAGAGGUUCUUCGUCACAAGUUGCCAAAAUGAAACAGAACUGUGAAAAGAAAAUGGAGAUGCUUCUUCAGGAGGUGCCCGUGAUGUGAUUUACUUGAUGAUUAUGGCCUGCAGGGUAUUGAGAUGGGAUUAUGUAACUUAAAUAAACUGGAUAUGAGUAGAGAUCUGAAAGAUUUUUCAAAAACAUUCAGCUUUACUUUUUUUUUUCUCCUAAGGAACAAGUUGUUCACUCAUAGAGCUGAAAAGGAUAAAUGAAGUGUUCAGUUCACAGAAGCAAAAUAUGAGUAGUUCAUAUAUCUUUUGUAAAUGUUCUAUGUAUCACUGUAAACUAGACAUCUUCCACAUGCCCCUAUGUUUUUCCAUUUUGAAAUCAAUUUCUAGUUCAAACUUGUCAAUAGACAAUGAAUAUUUGCAAAGUUAUAGUUUCACUGAAUUAGGAUGUAACCUGUAGCUCACAAUGAAAAUGCCAUUAGCUUGAGUUUAAAAUUUAUGUUGCUAUUUUUUUCUUUUGUCAAUAUUUUCCUUCUGUGGGACUUAUUGCACAAGGGUCGGAUAUCACAACUGAGGGAAACUGCAGAACAAUGGUUCUUCCAAUCAUUCAGACCCAUUUAAGCCAUAGUCUUUGUUGGCUUUGCCAAAUGACUGAAUGCUUGGGUCUAUUAGCACUGUCAAAUAGUGUUGAGUACAUACUUGUGGCAUAAGCAAGUUAAUAUUUAUAGGGAGCACUUUUGCAUGUCUUUUAAGUCACAUACUAAUUU